UGCAAGUCGAACGAUGAUCCCAGCUUGCUGGGGGAUUAGUGGCGAACGGGUGAGUAACACGUGAGUAACCUGCCCUUGACUCUGGGAUAAGCCUGGGAAACUGGGUCUAAUACCGGAUACGACCAUCUGGCGCAUGUCAUGGUGGUGGAAAGCUUUUGUGGUUUUGGAUGGACUCGCGGCCUAUCAGCUUGUUGGUGGGGUAAUGGCCUACCAAGGCGACGACGGGUAGCCGGCCUGAGAGGGUGACCGGCCACACUGGGACUGAGACACGGCCCAGACUCCUACGGGAGGCAGCAGUGGGGAAUAUUGCACAAUGGGCGCAAGCCUGAUGCAGCGACGCCGCGUGAGGGAUGACGGCCUUCGGGUUGUAAACCUCUUUCAGUAGGGAAGAAGCGAAAGUGACGGUACCUGCAGAAGAAGCGCCGGCUAACUACGUGCCAGCAGCCGCGGUAAUACGUAGGGCGCAAGCGUUAUCCGGAAUUAUUGGGCGUAAAGAGCUCGUAGGCGGUUUGUCGCGUCUGCUGUGAAAGACCGGGGCUCAACUCCGGUUCUGCAGUGGGUACGGGCAGACUAGAGUGCAGUAGGGGAGACUGGAAUUCCUGGUGUAGCGGUGAAAUGCGCAGAUAUCAGGAGGAACACCGAUGGCGAAGGCAGGUCUCUGGGCUGUAACUGACGCUGAGGAGCGAAAGCAUGGGGGAGCGAACAGGAUUAGAUACCCUGGUAGUCCAUGCCGUAAACGUUGGGCACUAGGUGUGGGGGGACAUUCCACGUUUUCCGCGGCCGUAG
This 786-nucleotide ribosomal RNA is filed under the name Paenarthrobacter aurescens. RNAcentral describes it as "bacterial SSU rRNA". It matches the Rfam family "Bacterial small subunit ribosomal RNA", at positions 56 to 851 of the family's 1533-position model. The record is from RNAcentral. Lineage: Bacteria; Bacillati; Actinomycetota; Actinomycetes; Micrococcales; Micrococcaceae.